UACGUAGGGUGCGAGCGUUGUCCGGAAUUAUUGGGCGUAAAGAGCUCGUAGGCGGUUUGUCGCGUCUGCCGUGAAAGUCCGGGGCUCAACUCCGGAUCUGCGGUGGGUACGGGCAGACUAGAGUGAUGUAGGGGGAGACUGGAAUUCCUGGUGUAGCGGUGAAAUGCGCAGAUAUCAGGAGGAACACCGAUGGCGAAGGCAGGUCUCUGGGCAUUAACUGACGCUGAGGAGCGAAAGCGUGGGGAGCAAACAGG
RNAcentral lists this ribosomal RNA (254 nucleotides) under uncultured bacterium. RNAcentral describes it as "partial 16S ribosomal RNA". It matches the Rfam family "Bacterial small subunit ribosomal RNA", at positions 524 to 776 of the family's 1533-position model. The record is from RNAcentral.